AAAUCAGUUAUCGUUUAUUUCGAUAGUACCUUACUACAUGGAUAACCGUGGUAAUUCUAGAGCUAAUACAUGCUAAAAACCCCGACUUCGGAAGGGGUGUAUUUAUUAGAUAAAAAACCAAUGCCCUUCGGGGCUCCUUGGUGAAUCAUAAUAACUUAACGAAUCGCAUGGCCUUGCGCCGGCGAUGGUUCAUUCAAAUUUCUGCCCUAUCAACUUUCGAUGGUAGGAUAGUGGCCUACCAUGGUAUCAACGGGUAACGGGGAAUUAGGGUUCGACUCCGGAGAGGGAGCCUGAGAAACGGCUACCACAUCCAAGGAAGGCAGCAGGCGCGCAAAUUACCCAAUCCCGACACGGGGAGGUAGUGACAAUAAAUACUGAUACAGGGCUCUUUUGGGUCUUGUAAUUGGAAUGAGUACAAUUUAAAUCCCUUAACGAGGAACAAUUGGAGGGCAAGUCUGGUGCCAGCAGCCGCGGUAAUUCCAGCUCCAAUAGCGUAUAUUAAAGUUGUUGCAGUUAAAAAGCUCGUAGUUGAACCUUGGGCCUGGCUGGCCGGUCCGCCUCACCGCGUGUACUGGUCCGGCCGGGCCUUUCCUUCUGGGGAACCUCAUGCCCUUCACUGGGCGUGCUGGGGAACCAGGACUUUUACUUUGAAAAAAUUAGAGUGUUCAAAGCAGGCCUUUGCUCGAAUACAUUAGCAUGGAAUAAUAGAAUAGGACGUGUGGUUCUAUUUUGUUGGUUUCUAGGACCGCCGUAAUGAUUAAUAGGGAUAGUCGGGGGCAUCAGUAUUCAAGCGUCAGAGGUGAAAUUCUUGGAUUGCUUGAAGACUAACUACUGCGAAAGCAUUUGCCAAGGAUGUUUUCAUUAAUCAGUGAACGAAAGUUAGGGGAUCGAAGACGAUCAGAUACCGUCGUAGUCUUAACCAUAAACUAUGCCGACUAGGGAUCGGACGGUGUUA
Molecule: ribosomal RNA, 955 nt
Filed under: Cladosporium cladosporioides
Lineage: Eukaryota; Fungi; Ascomycota; Dothideomycetes; Cladosporiales; Cladosporiaceae
Description: SSU rRNA
Rfam family: Eukaryotic small subunit ribosomal RNA
Source: RNAcentral